Molecule: non-coding RNA, 30 nt
Filed under: Mus musculus (house mouse)
Lineage: Eukaryota; Metazoa; Chordata; Mammalia; Rodentia; Muridae
Source: RNAcentral
UNGAAAGUACUUUUGGUAUGCUUCGGGCUC